RNAcentral lists this long non-coding RNA (604 nucleotides) under Vigna radiata. RNAcentral describes it as "long non-coding RNA (VRAD_LNC011608)". Lineage: Eukaryota; Viridiplantae; Streptophyta; Magnoliopsida; Fabales; Fabaceae. The record is from RNAcentral.
UCCUUUGGGAAGAACGAUAUUGGGUUUACCAAUUAUAUUACUUGAUAACGAUCUGGUACACUUGUCAGGGGUUUAACAAGUUUUUGGCGCCAUUGUCGGGGACUCGUGGUUUAACUUUUUGAGUAGUGUAAACUAAUUAAUUUUGACUUGAUUGUAAAUAUUUUGUAUAUAUUUUGUUUUUUUUAUUUUUUUUUUAUAAAAGUGCUACUGGGGUUUGUGUUUCUUGUGAGGUUUUUUAAAUAUAUGGGUGUUUAGGUAUCCUGAGCUUGUAUUGUGAACUCUUUAACUGUCCUAUCAUAUUAUUACGUGUUAACUUCUUGGUAUAGUUUAAAUUUAUAAUUUAUGGGAUGUUACAUUUAAUGGUAUCAGAGCAGUUAGUUCCUUAUAAAUAUUGUAGGUUAUCGGUAUACUAUGCUUGUGUUGUGUACUCAUUGUUCGGUUUAGGUAGUGCUUCUAGCUUCUUAAAUUGAUCAAAUUGAUCAAAAUAUAGCUAUUCACUUUUGUAUUUAACCUUGUUGAGAUUGUUGACAACACAAACUCUAUAUCAAACUGGUUUUUGAUGAUGACAACACACUGCUUAAUAACAGUACAUAUGUUCUAGUGU